Molecule: ribosomal RNA, 253 nt
Filed under: uncultured bacterium
Lineage: Bacteria
Description: partial 16S ribosomal RNA
Rfam family: Bacterial small subunit ribosomal RNA
Source: RNAcentral
UACGUAGGUGGCAAGCGUUGUCCGGAAUUAUUGGGCGUAAAGCGCGCGCAGGCGGUCCCUUAAGUCUGAUGUGAAAGCCCCGGGCUCAACCUGGGAAUGGCAUUGGAAACUGGCGGACUAGAGUGUGGCAGAGGGGGGUGGAAUUCCGCGUGUAGCAGUGAAAUGCGUAGAGAUGCGGAGGAACACCGAUGGCGAAGGCAGCCCCCUGGGCUAACACUGACGCUCAGGCACGAAAGCGUGGGGAGCAAACAGG